GCAAGUCGAACGAUGAACUGGAGCUUGCUCCAGGGAUUAGUGGCGAACGGGUGAGUAACACGUGAGUAACCUGCCCUUGACUCUGGGAUAAGCGUUGGAAACGACGUCUAAUACCGGAUAUGACUUCCGCCGGCAUCGGCUGGGAGUGGAAAGAACUUUGGUCAAGGAUGGACUCGCGGCCUAUCAGGUAGUUGGUGAGGUAAUGGCUCACCAAGCCUACGACGGGUAGCCGGCCUGAGAGGGUGACCGGCCACACUGGGACUGAGACACGGCCCAGACUCCUACGGGAGGCAGCAGUGGGGAAUAUUGCACAAUGGGCGAAAGCCUGAUGCAGCAACGCCGCGUGAGGGAUGACGGCCUUCGGGUUGUAAACCUCUUUUAGUUGGGAAGAAGGGAGCUUGCUCUUGACGGUACCAGCAGAAAAAGCACCGGCUAACUACGUGCCAGCAGCCGCGGUAAUACGUAGGGUGCAAGCGUUGUCCGGAAUUAUUGGGCGUAAAGAGCUCGUAGGCGGUUUGUCGCGUCUGCUGUGAAAUCUGGGGGCUCAACCCCCAGCCUGCAGUGGGUACGGGCAGACUAGAGUGCGGUAGGGGAGAUUGGAAUUCCUGGUGUAGCGGUGGAAUGCGCAGAUAUCAGGAGGAACACCGAUGGCGAAGGCAGAUCUCUGGGCCGUUACUGACGCUGAGGAGCGAAAGCAUGGGGAGCGAACAGGAUUAGAUACCCUGGUAGUCCAUGCCGUAAACGUUGGGAACUAGAUGUAGGGGCCAUUCCACGGUUUCUGUGUCGCAGCUAACGCAUUAAGUUCCCCGCCUGGGGAGUACGGCCGCAAGGCUAAAACUCAAAGGAAUUGACGGGGGCCCGCACAAGCGGCGGAGCAUGCGGAUUAAUUCGAUGCAACGCGAAGAACCUUACCAAGGCUUGACAUAUACCGGAAACGUCCAGAGAUGGUCGCCCCGCAAGGUCGGUAUACAGGUGGUGCAUGGUUGUCGUCAGCUCGUGUCGUGAGAUGUUGGGUUAAGUCCCGCAACGAGCGCAACCCUCGUUCUAUGUUGCCAGCACGUUAUGGUGGGAACUCAUAGGAGACUGCCGGGGUCAACUCGGAGGAAGGUGGGGAUGACGUCAAAUCAUCAUGCCCCUUAUGUCUUGGGCUUCACGCAUGCUACAAUGGCCGAUACAAAGGGCUGCAAUACCGUAAGGUGGAGCGAAUCCCAAAAAGUCGGUCUCAGUUCGGAUUGAGGUCUGCAACUCGACCUCAUGAAGUCGGAGUCGCUAGUAAUCGCAGAUCAGCAACGCUGCGGUGAAUACGUUCCCGGGCCUUGUACACACCGCCCGUCAAGUCAUGAAAGUCGGUAACACCCGAAGCCGGUGGCCCAACCCUUGUGGAGGGAGC
RNAcentral lists this ribosomal RNA (1390 nucleotides) under Frondihabitans sp. Its description in RNAcentral is "bacterial SSU rRNA". It matches the Rfam family "Bacterial small subunit ribosomal RNA". Lineage: Bacteria; Bacillati; Actinomycetota; Actinomycetes; Micrococcales; Microbacteriaceae. The record is from RNAcentral.